UCCGAAACUAUAACAGCUACAAACUUGAAAUUUGGCAGGUAGGUUCCUUAUAGGGCUUAGACAUCCGCUAAGAACUGAUUUUACGAAAAUCGACCCGUAAUAAAGCGGGGGUCGGAAGUUUGUAUGAAAGUCUUAUGUUUUUGAAGUAAGAGACUUGAAAUUUAAAAUGUAUGCUCUAUAGACGGUGAGGAGGUGUCCAAAUAAUGCAUCGUAAUCUAUAUAUAUAAAAGAGAAAGGUCACUGACUCACUCAUCACGAG
Molecule: unclassified non-coding RNA, 259 nt
Filed under: Melitaea cinxia (Glanville fritillary)
Lineage: Eukaryota; Metazoa; Arthropoda; Insecta; Lepidoptera; Nymphalidae
Description: misc RNA ENSMCXG00005005639.1
Source: RNAcentral